This 96-nucleotide microRNA precursor is filed under the name Alligator mississippiensis (American alligator). Its description in RNAcentral is "microRNA ami-mir-30c precursor (ami-mir-30c-2)". Its record names the gene ami-mir-30c-2. The stretch from base 11 to 86 matches the Rfam family "mir-30 microRNA precursor family". From Rfam's summary of the family: This family consists of the mammalian microRNA (miRNA) precursor mir-30a. Animal miRNAs are transcribed as ~70nt precursors and subsequently processed by the Dicer enzyme to give a ~22nt product. Lineage: Eukaryota; Metazoa; Chordata; Crocodylia; Alligatoridae. The record is from miRBase by way of RNAcentral.
GCUCUGAGUGACAGGUAUUGUAAACAUCCUACACUCUCAGCUGUGGAAAAUGAGGAAGCUGGGAGAAGGCUGUUUACUCUCCCUGACUUAGAUAGC